GGGUAGGCUACUUUCUGUGCCUCAUUUGUCUUAUCUGUGUAAUAUAAAGAUGAUAAUACUAGUACUUCCCUCACCUGCUAUUGUGAGAAUUGAAUUACACAUUUUAAAUGAGUUAAUACCUUAGUCUGGUAAGCACUCAAUAACUAUAAGCUAUUAUUCAUAAUUUAGAAGCAACCUCUCUAUUUCCUAAAAUAUGCCUAUUCAUUAAUAAGAAGAGAGUAAUGAUGAAAGCUAGGAACUAUUAUUUCCAUUGAUAUAAAAAGUAGACUCUUAGAACUGCAAAAGAUCCAAGAAACUAUUUAGACCAUUGAGUCUUAAUCAGUAAUAUGUAUCACAAUCACUUAUGAGGUGUUGUCAAGAUAUAGUUACCCAGGCCCCCACUUCUUACAUCUAUUAAGUCAGAAAUGUCCACAGGCACGCCCAUUGUAGCCUUUCUGCUAAAACCCACUGUUAAGGCUUUAGAUUUUACAAUAAGCAAAUUGAGUCUCAAGAGUAAAUGAUUUGCCUAAGACCCCAUAGGGUAAAGCCCCUUAAGGGAUCCAAGUCACUUACCUCCUUGGUGAGUGAUCUUUCUAUUCUUUCAUGUUGCUUGCCCAAUAUAUUAACUUUUAAACUAAUAUAGGAGUUUAUCCUUCUUUUAGUAAUAUCAGGAAGUAUAGUAAAUGAUUUAAAACUGUAUUUUAACAACAUUUAAUUCAAAAUAACAAAAUUUAUUUUACAAGUCAUGCUGAGAACUAUUGCACAUUUACAAUAGGAUUUUAAAUGAAUUUUCCUGGGCUUUUCAUGUGAACAUUAGUCUUUGCCAUAAUGCUUGCUGCUAAUUAGUGCAAGAAAACACUGUGUGUGGCAAAAGAGCUGCUCAGUCCAACCUCUCAGACUGACAGGCAAACAAAUGUUUUAUAGGGUAAGGUAACUGUAGCUGUUUUGUAGCUUGAGAGCUUUCAAAAAUAAAAUAUGCACUUCUUCUAAUUAGGUGGGGUUUUUUAACCUUUGUGAAAUAUUCUUAGAAGUUUCUAGUCUAUGAAUAGUUAAUGCAGAAAAAUUAAUGGUGAUUAGGUACAGUGCUUUACCAAUUGGUAG
RNAcentral lists this long non-coding RNA (1080 nucleotides) under Marmota monax (woodchuck). Lineage: Eukaryota; Metazoa; Chordata; Mammalia; Rodentia; Sciuridae. The record is from RNAcentral.